GCCUCAAUAGCUCAGUCGGUAGAGCACUUCACUCGUAAUGAAGGGGUCGCAGGUUCAAGUCCCGUUUGAGGCU
Molecule: transfer RNA, 73 nt
Filed under: Lachnospiraceae bacterium
Lineage: Bacteria; Bacillati; Bacillota; Clostridia; Lachnospirales; Lachnospiraceae
Also listed under: 1 other name
Description: tRNA-Thr
Rfam family: tRNA
About the family: Transfer RNA (tRNA) molecules are approximately 80 nucleotides in length.
Source: RNAcentral